RNAcentral lists this long non-coding RNA (289 nucleotides) under Rosa chinensis. Its description in RNAcentral is "sRNA RchiOBHm_Chr1g0352231". The record is from RNAcentral. Lineage: Eukaryota; Viridiplantae; Streptophyta; Magnoliopsida; Rosales; Rosaceae.
CCGGAUCAGAAUGAUCUAGGAGGCACGAGAGAGAGAGAGAGAGCGAAUCAGCGAGAGCUGGGAGCUCUCCGACCCGGAAACGCGUCGCCGAACCGAGGGAGAACCCGACCAGAACGCCUUCCUCCGGCCACUACACAGCGGCAGACCACCAGAAAUAGAUUUGUCUCGUCGUCGCCGUCAUGCCUGUGGUCUUCGAUCGCCCAUACACCGAACAAUGAGGGAGAAUCGACGAUGAGAAGCAGCGCCUGCUCUAGCGGUUCUGUGGUGCUUUCCGGCGACUCCGGACACC